This 502-nucleotide ribosomal RNA is filed under the name uncultured Glomeromycotina. Its description in RNAcentral is "partial small subunit ribosomal RNA". It matches the Rfam family "Eukaryotic small subunit ribosomal RNA", at positions 591 to 1092 of the family's 1831-position model. The record is from RNAcentral. Lineage: Eukaryota; Fungi; Glomeromycota.
CCAAUAGCGUAUAUUAAAGUUGUUGCAGUUAAAAAGCUCGUAGUUGAACUUCGGGGUUCACCCAUUGGUCAGGCUUAACUGUCUGCACUGGUGAGAUGAAUCUCUACCUUCUGAGGAACUUUCAUGCCAUUUAUUUGGUGUGAUGGGAAAUCAGGACUGUUACUUUGAAAAAAUUAGAGUGUUUAAAGCAGGCUAACGUCUGAAUACAUUAGCAUGGAAUAAUGAAAUAGGACGGACUGGUUCUAUUUUGUUGGUUUCUAGGAUCACCGUAAUGAUUAAUAGGGAUAGUUGGGGGCAUUAGUAUUCAAUUGUCAGAGGUGAAAUUCUUGGAUUUAUUGAAGACUAACUACUGCGAAAGCAUUUGCCAAGGAUGUUUUCAUUAAUCAAGAACGAAAGUUAGGGGAUCGAAGACGAUCAGAUACCGUCGUAGUCUUAACCAUAAACUAUGCCGACUAGGGAUCGGACGAAGUUAAUUUUAUAAUGACGCGUUCGGCACCUUACG